UUUAACCCGUUCUAACCUUUUGACAAUCAACUUUGAUGACCGUAAGCACGCUUUCGGUACCAGAGCAACCAUCAGAGAUCAGGCGGGUAACCCAGAGGGUAUCCGUUGCAAUCCUCAAUCCCGGUCAUCACAUCUACCAGAGUCUAUAACACUUCAGUACGAGACCGAAGCUACAUUCCUCCCGUCAUUUUAUGACGACCGAAAUUGAUGUUAACCUACCACCGGGAAAGUACACCCAAGGGGUACGAAUAUGCAGACCCGAAGGCCGUGAAGCUCCUCAAAACCCACA
This 289-nucleotide ribosomal RNA is filed under the name uncultured Glomeromycotina. Its description in RNAcentral is "partial large subunit ribosomal RNA". The record is from RNAcentral. Lineage: Eukaryota; Fungi; Glomeromycota.